Molecule: ribosomal RNA, 271 nt
Filed under: Escherichia coli
Lineage: Bacteria; Pseudomonadati; Pseudomonadota; Gammaproteobacteria; Enterobacterales; Enterobacteriaceae
Description: partial 16S ribosomal RNA
Rfam family: Bacterial small subunit ribosomal RNA
Source: RNAcentral
UGUCGUCAGCUCGUGUUGUGAAAUGUUGGGUUAAGUCCCGCAACGAGCGCAACCCUUAUCCUUUGUUGCCAGCGGUCCGGCCGGGAACUCAAAGGAGACUGCCAGUGAUAAACUGGAGGAAGGUGGGGAUGACGUCAAGUCAUCAUGGCCCUUACGACCAGGGCUACACACGUGCUACAAUGGCGCAUACAAAGAGAAGCGACCUCGCGAGAGCAAGCGGACCUCAUAAAGUGCGUCGUAGUCCGGAUUGGAGUCUGCAACUCGACUCCAU